AACGUACGCUGGCGGCACGCUUAACACAUGCAAGUCGAACGAAGUAGCAAUACUUAGUGGCAGACGGGUGAGUAACAUGUGGGUAUCUGCCCUUUGGCCUGGAAUAACACGAGGAAACUUGUGCUAAUACCGGAUAAGUCUUUACGGAGAAAGCUUUAUGCACCAUUGGAUGAGCCCGCACUUGAUUAGUUUGUUGGUGGGGUAAUGGCCUACCAAGACUGUGAUCAAUAGCUGAUUUGAGAGGAUGAUCAGCCACAUUGGGACUGAGACACGGCCCAAACUCCUACGGGAGGCAGCAGUGGGGAAUCUUGCACAAUGGAGGAAACUCUGAUGCAGCGAUGCCGCGUGAGUGAAGAAGGCCCUUGGGUUGUAAAGCUCUUUCGUCGGGGAAGAAAAUGACUGUACCCGAAUAAGAAGGUCCGGCUAACUUCGUGCCAGCAGCCGCGGUAAUACGAAGGGACCUAGCGUAGUUCGGAAUUACUGGGCUUAAAGAGUUCGUAGGUGGUUGAAAAAGUUAGUGGUGAAAUCCCAGAGCUUAACUCUGGAACUGCCAUUAAAACUUUUCAGCUAGAGUAUGAUAGAGGAAAGCAGAAUUUCUAGUGUAGAGGUGAAAUUCGUAGAUAUUAGAAAGAAUACCAAUUGCGAAGGCAGCUUUCUGGAUCAUUACUGACACUGAGGAACGAAAGCAUGGGUAGCGAAGAGGAUUAGAUACCCUCGUAGUCCAUGCCGUAAACGAUGUGUGUUAGACGUUGGAAAUUUAUUUUCAGUGUCGCAGCGAAAGCGAUAAACACACCGCCUGGGGAGUACGACCGCAAGGUUAAAACUCAAAUGAAUUGGCGGGGACCCGCACAAGUAGUGGAGCAUGUGGUUUAAUUCGAAGAUACGCGCAGAACCUUACCAACACUUGACAUGUUCGUCGCGACUCUAAGAGAUUAGAGUUUUCGGUUCGGCCGGACGAAACACAGGUGCUGCAUGGCUGUCGUCAGCUCGUGUCGUGAGAUGUUGGGUUAAGUCCCGCAACGAGCGCAACCCUCACUUUUAGUUGCCAUCAUUAAGUUGGGCACUCUGAAAGAACUGCCAGUGAUAAGCUGGAGGAAGGUGGGGAUGACGUCAAGUCCUCAUGGCCCUUACGUGUUGGGCUACACACGUGCUACAAUGGUAUCUACAACAGGAAGCAAGACUGCGAGGUCAAGCAAAUCCUUAAAAGAUACCUCAGUUCGGAUUGCACUCUGCAACUCGAGUGCAUGAAGCUGGAAUUACUAGUAAUCGUGGAUCAGCGUGCCACGGUGAAUGCGUUCCCGGGUCU
This 1306-nucleotide ribosomal RNA is filed under the name uncultured bacterium. RNAcentral describes it as "bacterial SSU rRNA". It matches the Rfam family "Bacterial small subunit ribosomal RNA", at positions 28 to 1381 of the family's 1533-position model. The record is from RNAcentral.